Molecule: ribosomal RNA, 101 nt
Filed under: Periophthalmus magnuspinnatus
Lineage: Eukaryota; Metazoa; Chordata; Actinopteri; Gobiiformes; Gobiidae
Source: RNAcentral
CCAUAUCACCUUGUCAAUGCCCACUCUCAGCUGAUCUCAGAAGCUAAGCAGGGUUGCGCCUGGUUAGUACUUGAAUAGGAGAUCACUGGGAAUACCAGGUG